Molecule: ribosomal RNA, 385 nt
Filed under: Porphyrio pulverulentus (Philippine swamphen)
Lineage: Eukaryota; Metazoa; Chordata; Aves; Gruiformes; Rallidae
Description: partial 12S small subunit ribosomal RNA
Rfam family: Bacterial small subunit ribosomal RNA
Source: RNAcentral
GCUUGGCCCUAAAUCCAGAUACUCACUACCACUAGAGUAUCCGCCUGAGAACUACGAGCAUAAACGCUUAAAACUCUAAGGACUUGGCGGUGCCCCAAAACCACCUAGAGGAGCCUGUUCUGUAAUCGAUAACCCACGAUAUACCCAACCCCUUCUUGCCCAAAGCAGCCUACAUACCGCCGUCCCCAGCUCACCUCCCCUGAGAGCCUAAGUAGUGAGCACAACAACAUCGCUAAUAAGACAGGUCAAGGUAUAGCCUAUGAAGGGGUAGAAAUGGGCUACAUUUUCUAAAAUAGAAAACGAAAGGAGGUUUGAAACAACCUCCAGAAGGAGGAUUUAGCAGUAAAGGGUGGCAAGAAUACCCCCUUUAAACCUGGCCCUGGGA